Long non-coding RNA from Leopardus geoffroyi (Geoffroy's cat), 313 nucleotides. RefSeq lists it as uncharacterized. The record is from RefSeq and is a predicted model, not a curated record. The transcript is spliced from 3 exons. NCBI's taxonomy places the organism in Eukaryota, Metazoa, Chordata, Mammalia, Carnivora, Felidae.
CCCCUGACGUCAGGGUCCGCUAGGGCCACGUGAUGACAACACAACAAGCGAAGGGGCGGGGAGGGGGCGUUCCUAGGCGAGCUCCGGAUCUGGAGACGCGGGAGUCACGCUGACUCGCGCCCCUGGAAUGAAUUCUUGCGUGUCAUUUGUACUGGCCUGGUGGAGUGACUGAUGCGGCUGGAACCGAGAUAGAGAUUACUCACAAAAGCUUAACGAGACAUUAGACAAGAUCAGCCAUCAUUUCCAGGGAAUUUUCCUGCUGACAAACUUUGCAAUUGAGUUUCUUCUAAAGAGGGAGACCCAGAAUCCGGAG